This is a long non-coding RNA of Felis catus (domestic cat), 1132 nucleotides long. RefSeq lists it as uncharacterized. NCBI's taxonomy places the organism in Eukaryota, Metazoa, Chordata, Mammalia, Carnivora, Felidae. The transcript is spliced from 2 exons. The record is from RefSeq and is a predicted model, not a curated record.
UCCAAACAGCCACCACUCUGCACUCGCAGCUGUGCCCGUGUGCACGUCUCAAGUGUGUGCACAUGCGCUCUAGUCAAGCAGGGCGGCAGGGGGUUGGUAACAAGAGGACAUGUAAUUCUGCUUUAAGAUUAAUCAUGAUAAUGGUGAUGGCAGUGAAAACAGCUUACAUUACAGAGAAUCUUGCCAGGGCCAGGAACUGUAGGAAGUACAUUUAUGCAUUAUCUCAUUUAAUCCUCCCAGAGACCUCACGAGGCAGGCACAGUUAGUACCAUUCUCAUUUUACAGAUGAGGAAAUAGGAGCUGAGGGUAGUUAAGUGUCGUGACCUUGGACAGCAGUAAGUGGAGAUGCUGAGGUUAAACGAGAAUAAUACAAUGAACAGCCGUGUCCCAGGACUGAAGAGGGGAACUCAGCUGAGGCACAGAGACAAUACCGCAUUCCAAAGGGAGGCACGCUGUCACAAUGCAGAAUUGCCAAAGGCCGAGAAUAGUAACAGGGACAGGAUAUUGGAGAGAACUCUGUGUGCCAGUGAAGGGGCCACUUUCCCUCCAGCUGAAGUCAAGAGAGAGGCACAAGGACAUCUGGAUCUUAGGGGAUGUGACAGUGACCCUCCUGAGUCAACGGGGACUCUCGUGAAAAAUCUGAAGGAAGAGAUCCAUGGUGGUGAGUGUGGAGGCCUCUAGAGAACCCAGCAAAGCAGCCACAAGAGACAGUCCAUCCUGAAAGCCUGCUGGUCCAGAGAGCAGCAAUCACCGUGACCACGCCAGUCCCAGAAGGGCCCUGCCGUUCCCUUUGCCUCGUGCUCUUGCUACCUGAACUCCAACACUGGGCAGGUUGGAUGCAGGGUGAGGGAUGGGACAAAUGAAGUAGAGGCCCCACCGCGGGCUUCUCCUCUGGAACAGGCCAGAGCUGCAGGAAGAGAAGAGGGAUUAACUUUAAACAGACUGACAUGGUGACUAUGACAUGGGAUGGACACUUGAAUGACAGAGGACUUUUAUUUACUGAAAUUUGCUGUAUGAGUUAUAGAACUUGCCCAAACUUUCAAGCAAGGGCAGCAGAGGAACCUGUCCCACAGGAUAAAUUUAAAAGGAUCGUGGGAAGCAAAAAUAAAGUCACCUUAUAAUUUGUUCAAUG